RNAcentral lists this ribosomal RNA (465 nucleotides) under Vreelandella stevensii. Its description in RNAcentral is "partial 16S ribosomal RNA". It matches the Rfam family "Bacterial small subunit ribosomal RNA", at positions 338 to 795 of the family's 1533-position model. The record is from RNAcentral. Lineage: Bacteria; Pseudomonadati; Pseudomonadota; Gammaproteobacteria; Oceanospirillales; Halomonadaceae.
CCUACGGGGGGCUGCAGUGGGGAAUAUUGGACAAUGGGCGAAAGCCUGAUCCAGCCAUGCCGCGUGUGUGAAGAAGGCCUUCGGGUUGUAAAGCACUUUCAGUGGGGAAGAAAGCCUUGGGGCUAAUACCCUCGAGGAAGGACAUCACCCACAGAAGAAGCACCGGCUAACUCCGUGCCAGCAGCCGCGGUAAUACGGAGGGUGCGAGCGUUAAUCGGAAUUACUGGGCGUAAAGCGCGCGUAGGCGGUCUGAUAAGCCGGUUGUGAAAGCCCCGGGCUCAACCUGGGAACGGCAUCCGGAACUGUCAGGGUAGAGCGCAUGAGAGGAAGGUAGAAUUCCCGGUGUAGCGGUGAAAUGCGUAGAGAUCGGGAGGAAUACCAGUGGCGAAGGCGGCCUUCUGGACUGACACUGACGCUGAGGUGCGAAAGCGUGGGUAGCAAACAGGAUUAGAUACCCUGGUAGUC